This 205-nucleotide microRNA precursor is filed under the name Oryza glumipatula. RNAcentral's name for it is "MIR812 microRNA precursor family". It matches the Rfam family "MIR812 microRNA precursor family". The record is from Rfam by way of RNAcentral. Lineage: Eukaryota; Viridiplantae; Streptophyta; Magnoliopsida; Poales; Poaceae.
AAAAAGACAAACCAUGAUUUCCGUGCCUAACGUUUGACCGUCCGUCUUAUUUAAAAAAUUAUGAAAAAAAAUUAAAAAGACAAGUCACGCAUAAAAUAUUAAUCAUGUUUUAUCAUCUAACAAUAAUGAAAAUACGAAUUAUAAAAAAAAUUUAUAUAAGACGGACAGUUAAAGUUGGAUACGAAAACCCAGGGUUUGCCUUUUU